Long non-coding RNA from Brassica napus (rape), 2338 nucleotides. RefSeq lists it as uncharacterized. The record is from RefSeq and is a predicted model, not a curated record. The transcript is spliced from 12 exons. Lineage: Eukaryota; Viridiplantae; Streptophyta; Magnoliopsida; Brassicales; Brassicaceae.
UAUUCAUCUAAUAAUGUUUAGUUCUUUCUUGGACUGGAAUGAAGUUUCCCUUGUCACUUCGUAGUACCACUUCUCAUCAUCAGUCCAUCACACAGAACUCUUCAUAGUUUAUUCUUCCAUCUUGCAUUAAAAGUGAUUUUAUUUUCGUCUGAAAAUUUGUUAUAUAAAUGAAAUUUAGUAUCAACUUCAGCUAUUAUUUUGAUGCUAGCUUUAUCUUCCAUACCAUAAUCUGUUAACAAAAAAAAACAAAACUGGAAAUAAUUUUGAAAAAAGCUCUUGUAGGAGAACUUUUAUUUAUCAUGUUUUUUACAUUAUUAUGUUUUCUGAAAAUAGCAUUUAUUAUGGUUUUUUAUUGACAUAAAUAAAUGACUAAUAGAGAAACCAUCAAAAUCUUUAUAUAUAAAAAAGGGUUUGAAUCCCUCCCAGAGAAUCUACGUAUGCUUCCAUGUCACUAAUUCAGAUGCUGUCGAGUAAUACGUGGCUGCUUUAACAAAAACGCAUCGAUCGGUUCAUUAAACGUUUGUCAUGGGCUUCGCAAUUAAAAGCGUUUUCAUAUUCCCAAAUAAUAAUUAACAUGAUCCAAUAAAACCUAAUACUUCAGGCCCACAAAUAAUGUGUUUUUGACGAUCUGAGUUCCGUCCUCUUUCUCUUGGGGGAACCAAUCAUAACCUCGACGGAUCCGUUCCCCCCGCAAUUACUCGACGGAGUAACCCACUAUGAAAAUGGGAGGCAAUCAAUUUGUUCUUCAAUGCAGAAUUUUCACCUCCUAUCAAACAAUUGUAAUAUAUAUAUAUAUAUGUCAUUGAGUUACUGGAUCAAAUUCAUAAAUCUUAACAUCGCAGUCAUGCAAAAGAACAAGAUUUAUGAAUUCUUCAGAGAUUUGCAGACCAGCUUGAUAUUUAACACGAUCAAUGUACACUAGAGUGGAGUUCUGCAAGAGAUUGUGUGGCGUCUGAGUGAUCAGAAGUAUUUACAGUGGAGAAAGCAGGUAGAACACACUAAGAGCUUGCUGUACGGUAUUAAGAUUCUUAAUACACAUAGAGAAUAGUGGAUGGUGUCAGUUGAUAUAUGAGAAGUUACCAAAAGAUAUCGCAAGCCUGACAUCUCAGGAAAUUCUGCAGUGAAUGUUAUAUCUAAUAUCUUUGCUUAUUAGCAAGGGAGUUCCAGAAUCGCAUAUUAUCUUUCUUAACGCCAUAGCAGCACCUCAAGGGAUUCACCGGCUCUGCAAGAAACAUCCAAUGGUAAAGAUUGUGACUUCAGAAAUCGAUGCCUCGCGUGUGAUUCCAGGUCUGGGACCAUUACUUUGGUACAGACAACUCAAAAAAGUAUCAAGAAUAUCUAGAAAUGCAAAGAGUGUCAAGAACACUCCAAAAACAGCAAAGAAUGAAAGUCUCAACGGGGCUUUCACGGUUAUCCAAGACAAGGAAAGGAUCUAUUACAACAUUCAAAAGAAGUGGACAAGUUGCAGCUCAUCUCGAAAAAGCUGCAAGACUAGCUAGGAAAAAAUAUUGAGGGACAAUAAAGUUCUCACCUCCUAACCUCGUUUCUAACUGCAGGUCACAAUCGCCAUAUCCACCUGCAUACGUAGCUCCGCAGAGAAGUGGGGAAUCUAGAAGUCUCCAAGAUUGUAAUGUUCAAACUUCUCUGAACCAGCUAAAGCUAAACAAAACAGAGCUUUCAGGAUUCAGCUUAUAAAAUUUAAACGUCAACAAAGUAUGGCAACAAAGCCAAACACAUCGUCCAUGAACAGCAGCAGCACCACUUCAACCACGUCCAAAGAACAUAGGAACCAGGAAAAGCAACAGCUUCAGCAAUUGAGAUUUGGUAACAUGUCCUAUAUGUAAUACCUUAGUGUGGACCAGUGAACCAGUAAGGAUAGUCAACCACCAUGCCAAUAGGACGUUCUACAUAUGUUGUAACAAGGAAGUUGAGCGCCUACCACUCCGCGAACUUCCUUCACCUUUGAAAGAGCUCCUUGGCACACCAGGGUUCCGAGUUUUAAUAAGUGUUGCGAAUGGAAUGAUUGCUUUUACUUCAACGGGUGCUCAUGUCGAUCAUACUAUCACUGGACAACCUGGCCAUUCAUUUACCUAAUACAUGCUCAAAACCAACACCGUAUCUGUUCACUCUUGCAUGUUGACGAAGAACCCCCACAGUAUCUCCAGCUAUAUAUUUUUAUACUGUAAAUAAAAUAGAAAAAGAAGAAAGCCUUAUGAAAAGGAUCAUCAACUAUAAACUUAGACGACCAAGUUUCACAUUUGUCCCUCUCACCUUCGAUUGAUAUGUCAGUUAUCCUCAUCUUCGGUUUAAUUAUUUAUAAAUAAAUAUUUAAAUAAAA